RNAcentral lists this long non-coding RNA (413 nucleotides) under Phoenix dactylifera (date palm). Its description in RNAcentral is "long non-coding RNA (PDAC_LNC005789)". Lineage: Eukaryota; Viridiplantae; Streptophyta; Magnoliopsida; Arecales; Arecaceae. The record is from RNAcentral.
UUUUUUUUUUUUUUGCUCUUUCACUGUGCAAUUUAGUUUACCCGAGGGUGUAUGUUUACCUUCUAUUGUUUGAAAUAAAAAGAAAAAAACUGGAGAAUGAACAGAAAAACGAAAGAUUCCAACUAAUAUGUUGUUUCUUUUCUGAUGAUUCUACUACAAGAAGUAAUUAAAUUUUGAAAUAUCUGUCAUUAUAAUGCAAACUUCAAGAUUUCGGCACCGUCCCAUGGUUGGCUUUGAUUUUUUACUGUUUUUCAUCUUAUGUCAUAAAAGUCUUGAUUUUAUUUUUUUUAUAACUUACCCUUUUUAAAGAGUCCAAGAAUCCAAAUAGGGUGCUCUUUAGUAUAACUUGGCUUGGGCUCAAGCUAAACUCACUUGCCCAACCCAACCCAAACUCAUCCCUACCCCGAUCAAAC